Molecule: long non-coding RNA, 1120 nt
Filed under: Phoenix dactylifera (date palm)
Lineage: Eukaryota; Viridiplantae; Streptophyta; Magnoliopsida; Arecales; Arecaceae
Description: long non-coding RNA (PDAC_LNC008969)
Source: RNAcentral
GUGUUGAAACUUCCAGGGAACAACAUCUUCAUACUUGUGGGGCUCAAUAUGCUGAUAAUGCGAGUCAAUGCACAAAUCCAAUAAUAACACCUAAAAGGCUAAAACCUUGACACCGGGCCCCUUCCUUGCAGAGCCAUAUGUAGCCUUCUUUAUGCACAAAUGUAAUCUAUAGUGGUUCUUUGCCACAUUAAACAUGUGUUACUCCUAAGCUUUCACUGGUACCUGUUUCUUUGUCCAUCGCCUAUUUUACCCAACAGGCAAGCUUUAAUUGGUGGAAUCGUGAAUCCCUUUAUCCCAAUCUUGCCAUGACCACCAUGACAUUGUCAUGUUUGCUACCCCAUCUGGCAUGUAUACGUUGGAGUGGUAACAUGGCAUUUACAGCUUUUCGCAUCUAUUGACUGAUCUGUUUUAAUAAUUUAUCCAUUUUGUGAACAUGCAGGUGAAGAGCUACUGGUUGAACUCUGAUGGUGCAGAUGUGGUCUUCCAUAUGAUUGAUAAUUUUCUUAUCUAGUCUUCUGAUAAAUUUUGCGGUUCUCAAUUGGCAGGCCACAAACUCAUUCUGGUGUGUAGAACACUGAUGCAAGUACAUUUAUUCUAAAAAUCUCGACCUUGUAGAUAAAUAAUUGUCCUGUGUAUUAGUUGCGCAAUUUUGAUUUGGUUAUAAUUCUUCAUUCAUACACCGCCUAGGGAAUCUGGUAACAAGAAACUGUAGAUUUUCUUAGUAGGUGGAAUUAUCUUGUAAUAGAAUUCAUCAUUUUAUAUCUUAGGAAGAAAUUUCCUACAAGUGACUCCAGCUCCCCUGGCAUCAUGAAUGAAAGCCAUUUCAUAUUUUUUUAUUUAAUACCGCCAUUGUCAUGUGGACACUGUAUGAGGCUUUAACCUAAUUAGCAUGGCGCUGGCAACUAAAAUGUGGUAUUGAAGGUGUGUGCUCUGUAUUCAUUUUAUAUCUUAGGAAGAAAUUUCCUACAAGUGCCUCCAGCUCCCCUGGCAUCAUGAAUGAAAGCCAUUUCAUGUUUUUUUAUUUAAUACCGCCAUUGUCAUGUGGACACUGUAUGAGGCUUUAACCUAAUUAGCAUGGGGCUGGCAACUAAAAUGUGGUAUUGAAGGUGUGUGCUCUGUA